UCAACUGCAGCCAGGGGAAGGUAAGAACAUUUCUAAGGGUUCUAUAGAGCUUUAUGACACCUCCAAGUUCCCUGGGGAAUUCAUUCUAACCAGGGUUCAGAGCCUACAAAAUAGAACCCCCCGAAAAGCUUCACAGACCCCUUCACAGACCAACUGCCAUUCACCUUCUUCCUCUUUCCCCCCAUUUCCUCCCAUUUGGAAGCACCAAAUAGAAAAGUGGAGGGGAGUGAAUGAAGAAUGAGAAUCCAUGGGGAGGAUGACAUCCACACGGCAAUAGGGAGCUGUGACAGAGCAAGAAAGGUCAAGGGGCACUGGAUGUUUCUCUGCUGAGGGGGGACACUAGGAGCAGGCACCUCACCCUGACUGACACCUCCUGCCUAUUAUUUCCCUGUUAUGUUCUUGCCAUACACAGAGAAACUAGAUAAAAACAGACUGAUACCGGGGAGACAAACACACUGCACUCUCUUCUGGGGAAUCUGCUGUAUCGCAAGCACAGCCGGCUGCACUUUAGUGGCAAUAAAACAAAGAAAAUCAUAGCAAGACUACAGCUUCUGCCUAGUUAAGGCUGUGAUAAGAUAAAAUAUUUUAGGGUCCACACACAGGAGGACCUCAAUCCAAAGGAGGAGCCUGGGGUCCUAUGCCUAAUCGAGAAGGCUACCCCAUUGUUGAACUCUUUGCAUAUACCCUGAAAGCAUGGACUUGAAUGUGGGACCUGGCUGUAGGGCUGAGUCACUGAAGGGACAGAGCAUUGCAGGGAAAGGGGAGCACCUGGAAAGAAAAGAGCCUGAUGUACCCUUGACCAUGAGAUGGUACUUCGGUGAGUGUUCCCCUUCACAAUCCUCCACGUCUAAAGAGUACAUUUAAAUAAU
Molecule: long non-coding RNA, 869 nt
Organism: Mauremys mutica (yellowpond turtle)
Lineage: Eukaryota; Metazoa; Chordata; Testudines; Geoemydidae
Exons: 3
Source: RefSeq, a predicted model, not a curated record